This 253-nucleotide ribosomal RNA is filed under the name uncultured bacterium. Its description in RNAcentral is "partial 16S ribosomal RNA". It matches the Rfam family "Bacterial small subunit ribosomal RNA", at positions 524 to 776 of the family's 1533-position model. The record is from RNAcentral.
UACGGGGGGGGCAAGCGUUGUUCGGAAUUACUGGGCGUAAAGGGCGCGUAGGCGGCCUUCUAAGUCGAACGUGAAAUCCCCGGGCUCAACCCGGGAACUGCGUCCGAUACUGGAAGGCUUGAAUCCGGGAGAGGGAUGUGGAAUUCCAGGUGUAGCGGUGAAAUGCGUAGAUAUCUGGAGGAACACCGGUGGCGAAGGCGACAUCCUGGACCGGUAUUGACGCUGAGGCGCGAAAGCGUGGGGAGCAAACAGG